This 427-nucleotide ribosomal RNA is filed under the name uncultured bacterium. RNAcentral's name for it is "partial 16S ribosomal RNA". It matches the Rfam family "Bacterial small subunit ribosomal RNA", at positions 355 to 798 of the family's 1533-position model. The record is from RNAcentral.
UGGGGAAUAUUGGACAAUGGGGGCAACCCUGAUCCAGCAAUGCCGCGUGUGUGAAGAAGGUCUUCGGAUUGUAAAGCACUUUCGACGGGGACGAUGAUGACGGUACCCGUAGAAGAAGCCCCGGCUAACUUCGUGCCAGCAGCCGCGGUAAUACGAAGGGGGCUAGCGUUGCUCGGAAUGACUGGGCGUAAAGGGCGUGUAGGCGGUUUACACAGUCAGAUGUGAAAUCCCCGGGCUUAACCUGGGAGCUGCAUUUGAUACGUGUAGACUAGAGUGUGAGAGAGGGUUGUGGAAUUCCCAGUGUAGAGGUGAAAUUCGUAGAUAUUGGGAAGAACACCGGUGGCGAAGGCGGCAACCUGGCUCAUGACUGACGCUGAGGCGCGAAAGCGUGGGGAGCAAACAGGAUUAGGAUACCCUGGUAGUCCAC